Molecule: non-coding RNA, 135 nt
Organism: Triticum aestivum (bread wheat)
Lineage: Eukaryota; Viridiplantae; Streptophyta; Magnoliopsida; Poales; Poaceae
Source: Rfam
NAAGUACUCCCUCCGUCCCAAAAUUCUUGUCUUAGAUUUGUCUAGAUACGGAUGUAUCAAGUCACAUUUUAGUAUUAGAUACAUCCGUAUCUAGACAAAUCUAAGACAAGAAAUUUGGGACAGAGGGAGUAGUUG